This 253-nucleotide ribosomal RNA is filed under the name uncultured bacterium. RNAcentral describes it as "partial 16S ribosomal RNA". It matches the Rfam family "Bacterial small subunit ribosomal RNA", at positions 524 to 776 of the family's 1533-position model. The record is from RNAcentral.
GACAGAGGGGGCAAGCGUUGCUCGGAAUCACUGGGCGUAAAGAGCUCGUAGGCGGUUUGUCGCGUCUGCCGUGAAAGUCCGGGGCUCAACUCCGGAUCUGCGGUGGGUACGGGCAGACUAGAGUGAUGUAGGGGAGACUGGAAUUCCUGGUGUAGCGGUGAAAUGCGCAGAUAUCAGGAGGAACACCGAUGGCGAAGGCAGGUCUCUGGGCAUUAACUGACGCUGAGGAGCGAAAGCAUGGGGAGCGAACAGG